GCUGCUCCAAAAGACAGCCUCCACGCGGCGAGCAGCGGGCAACGGGAGACAGUCCCGGCAAAUUGUCUUU
RNAcentral lists this ribozyme (70 nucleotides) under unclassified sequences. RNAcentral's name for it is "HDV ribozyme from F. prausnitzii". It matches the Rfam family "HDV ribozyme from F. prausnitzii". The record is from RNAcentral.